AAGUCUACUUGGGCAUUGGGUUGCUUUCAACCGUCUGCUACCUUUCCUCUUCCCUAGCUAUUCUUUGUUGCUUAUACCGCUUCACAUUCCAACAUCGAUUUCUCAACAAUUAAUUAUUUCCAUUGUUCAAUACAACUUCACGCCGCUUUCGGUUAAUCUUCAAUUUCAUCAUCAAUUUCUCUUCUUCCAAUCCAGUUCUUCUCAUAUUCAAUGUCAUCUUCUCCAUUCAUAUCUACACUUUUCCAUUCCCCUUCCCACAUUUUCUCUCUCUCUCUCUGAGUCCCAAUUUCUCUUUUCUGUCUCUUUUCAACACAAAACCUAACACCACAGUCAUUACUAUUUAAAGUUUUAUUAGGUUCUGAAUGAUGAAUUUUGAGUUUUUCAGAUUCCAGGAGGAGUUACUGUUGCGGAGGGGUUCAAAGCUGCGGGAAUACAUGGAGGAUUAUGCGUUGCAUGAACGUGCUGUGUUAACUAAUGCAGGUCAAGCUAAUGCCGCUACGGGCGAAUCAGGUUACCGUGAAACGAUACGAUAAAGUGUGUAGAAAGCCUUGCAAAGGUUUUUGGAGGAAAGAAUUCAUUAUAGAUGAAGUUCGCAUCUUUGCUUGAUACCACUGUAAUCAGAUAUAACAGCACCAACAAAAGCUCUGGAACAUGACUAUCGAUUGUCAAAAAACUUCAUCACAAAUUAGUGUCAACUUCCUGGUGUUUCUAAAGCGUGUGCGGUGGCCGUUGUCUCCGUGGAUCUUCGUCAGGCGAUGGUUAUGAAUCAUAAUAUUAUUGUUCAUGGUUGCUUGCAGUGGAUCAUAGAGAACAACGACGACAUCAUACUUUGUUUCCUUUUGAAUGAAUCUGAAUGUUUUUUAAAACUGUGAACUGUUGGUGUUGUUAUGUUUUGUUCUCCGACAUUUUGAUGUUGGGUGUACUCUUAAUGGUGGUAAGAGAAUUGGCUGCUGGAGGAUAGCUUAUUGUAAGGUUGGAUAUGUGAGUGAUUUGGGUGAAGGGUAUUAUUUUACUGACAAAACAAGUUGAUUGAUGUUAGGGUGUUUGGCUUAGGUGUUUUGUGAAAUUAACAUGAUAACUGUAUUACAAAAAAUUUGUAGAUUAAUUUUUUCGGUUC
Vicia villosa (hairy vetch) is the source of this 1117-nucleotide long non-coding RNA. RefSeq lists it as uncharacterized. The record is from RefSeq and is a predicted model, not a curated record. NCBI's taxonomy places the organism in Eukaryota, Viridiplantae, Streptophyta, Magnoliopsida, Fabales, Fabaceae. The transcript has 4 exons.